RNAcentral lists this long non-coding RNA (22093 nucleotides) under Lynx pardinus (Iberian lynx). Lineage: Eukaryota; Metazoa; Chordata; Mammalia; Carnivora; Felidae. The record is from RNAcentral.
CUCGUUUCUGAGGCUCCCCGGGGGACCCUUCUCUCCUCGACGGUGAGAAAAAAUAGGCUGCUUGGGAUAAUGGGCUCGUUUCCAUCGCAUGGACGUCACGUUUCCCUCUUUGCCCUGGCUACAAGGAAGCUCGGAGACAAAUUUAUGGGCAUGCGCUAAAAAUAUCCUCUUGUGGUAAUAACAGUUUGCAUAUUACCCUCAUUUCUGGCUUCCCAUUAUGUUUCUUCCCUCCCCCCCCCUUUUAUUUGCUUUGCUCUGUUUCUCUUUUCUCUUUUUUUAUCUUGUUCGUGCUCACGAAGAGCCUUAAACGUGGGAGCGGUGAGGGGGAGUAAAUGCACACGAAUGGAUGACACAUUUAUGCCAACAAAAUAGUGCCCAGCAUUUGUGGGCAGUGUCGGAGAGCGGAUGACAGUGGCGGACCAGAGAGGGCCUGGCCGGGUGCCCGGGGACACCCGCAGAGCCCAGUGGUGAAGGCCGGACAACCUGCCUCCCGUUCCCUGUAGGUCCUGACAGUGGAGCCUCUGCUUUCCUUAAAGCGCCACCCUUCGAGGAACGCGCACCCACGGGAGGGCAGGGCUCCGGGAGAGACUCAGAUGCCCCGGAAGGGGUCCCAUAGCCUCCCCCGCCCCAAGCUCCUGGUGGGGGGGGGUCCUGGUUCGCUGGGCGGGAGGCAGGAAGGAGCACGAGCAGCAGGGGGCGCUGUUCCCACUGUCUCCCAGGCAGUGGCUCCUGACAUCUGGAAACAGAUUCCAGCAGAGGUCUGGGCCUGGGGCCAACCCGUGCUCGCUGCAGCCCGCGUGAGCCCAGCCUGCCCACGCCAGGGGCGCACAAAGGCGACCCCAGGAACCACACCCCACCGUCCAAGUGGAGGAGGGAAGCUUGUCUGUUUCCUUUCACUCUGGGCCUCGGUUUCCCGCUCCGUGCUAGGAGUAAACACCCCUUUGCAAGGCGGUUGUAAAAGUCAUAGGUGACCGUUGGGGGCAGUGCGGUCUGGACGGAAGAGCUCGGACUGGCAGAAAGACCCAGACUGGAGUCCCAGCCUGCCACACGCUGUGACCUGCGCCUUCCGGAGCCUCCUAGGCACCGUGAAAAUUGAGCCAAACAGCGUAUGCAGAGCCCCCAGGGCCCAGGAGCAGCAGUAGCUACGGAGGGCCGUAUAGCCCGGUCUGUAGCAGCGGCCGGCCCUGGGGGAGCCUCCGUUUCCCCACCUGUAGACAAAAAAGGUGAGAAGAAGUGAGCUCUUGGCCCCUCCUGAGGUCUCUGCUCUUCUGGGUCCUGUAGAAUCCGGGCACCAGAAAGCACUGCCCUGAGGGAUGGGCGUCUGCAGCAUGAUGGGACCCCUACGAAGGGUCUGCUCUGGGUCACGAUGCCCCCAUUGGGCGGGCCACUCCCUCUACCGCUGAGGCCUGAGCCCGGCCGGCAGGAGAUGCAAACCAGGAGCCCAGUCCCGGAGUCCCCAACCCCUGGCGUUCGGGGUCAUUCCAGGAAAGGUCCUGAAAUUCUCCGCGUCUUCAAAGAAAAAGACAUUUCCGGUUUUUGGGAGGCAAAAGCACAUGUCCCUGUUGUCCCUUUGAGAAGAGGAAGCCCCAGCCUCCCUUCACACGCCACCGCCUGUCGUCCAUGCUCGUGGCCACUGCCUCUCGGGACCCCACGGUGCUCACGGCCGGGGGCCCCCCAGCGCCUGCCCCGCGUCCCUCCCCCGCUCCUUCUCCUUCCUCUGGGCCAGCGGUUCCCACCCUGGGUGUCCGUAAACUUGGGUGAGAACCGACAUCUCUGUGGUCACCAACGCCCCUCCCUGAAGGGCAGCGUUUCCUUCCGUGGCGAGGUAGGCUCGAGCCACGGAGCCGCCUGUGACCGUGGCCGAGAGAAGCCACAGGUGUUUCCAUGACCACCGUGGCUGCUGCGGGCACCCCAAGCGUCCCUUCUGCUCCGCGCUGCUUGCGGAUCUCGGCUGGUAACCCCGCCCCUGGCCAGACGCUGUUAUUUAACACGUUCACGAAGAGGCCCGUGGGUCCGUCACAGGCUUAUUUCUGUUGCUCUAUUUUAAUCUCUGCGUUUGGGCAGCUCCUUUCCGUUGCGAUGCUGCCCAGUGUGUCUCACGCGUUUACAAAAGCGUCCUUCCGAGAGACGGCCUGCCUCCCCAGGCUUCAGCAGGUGCCCGGCGGGGCUCACGACACAAACAGGGUGAGGAUCUCCGGCCCCAGGGCUGGCGCGCGGGCGUUUUUUCCCUGCUCGACGCGCCGCCACUCCGACUGAUUGGCUUUUGCUUCCGGAGCCUCGGCUCCACGACGUGGUGACCAGCUCCUGGUUUGCCGCCUGCCAGAGGCGAGUCCCGUACCCCAACCCCUCCGUGGGCUUCUCCCGGCAAUCCUGUGAGCUAGCAAAGUGCUCUUCCUUCCCCUCUGGUGGAGGGGGAAACUGAGGCACAGAGCUGCGGCCGACUGCCAGGGUCACAGAGCGCUGAGGGCCGGAACCCCCAGACAGGCAGAACUGGGUCAGGCGUGUCAGUAAGAGGUCGCGCCCUCCAAGCUCUGAGGAGGGAAGUCCGGGCCUAGGGCGGUGUUUCCUGAGCGUUUGUCCCUGGUGGAGGUGGGGAGCCAGGCGGGGGUGACAUCUGCUGGACCUCCAAGCUGGACUUGGGGCAAGGGGGCGGGGGACGCGCUGGGGAGGAGGGGCAGGGAGAUCCGGGCUUGUCAAUUUCCACGGGGAGAGGAAUCCCGGGCACGGACAGGGACGCGGCUGGCACCGGGACUCUGGGAGCGCCCGAGAGAGGCCUGCGCCCUGGUGGCUCCUCCCGCCCGCGGCCCCGCCCCUCAGGCCCCCCAGCAAACCCAUCGCCCGCGUUUCCGAGGCCAGGCCGGCCGGCUGGGUCUAGGCCCCGGAAGGCCAGGCCGGGCGGGGGCCGGCGGGGGCCGGGGCGGGGCUGGCCGAGGGGCCGGGCCGUCCCUUCCAGCGAGGGCGGGCCGCGCGCGCCUUUAAGUGCGGCGGGGCCCCGGGCGCGCAGCGUCGGCCCAGAAGGAGCGGGCGCCUCUCCGGUCCCCGCCCCCGCGUGCCCCCGUNNNNNNNNNNNNNNNNNNNNNNNNNNNNNNNNNNNNNNNNNNNNNNNNNNNNNNNNNNNNNNNNNNNNNNNNNNNNNNNNNNNNNNNNNNNNNNNNNNNNNNNNNNNNNNNNNNNNNGGCGGCCGCAGCCCGGCCCCAGCACCGCCUCGGCGCCCCCGCUGGUCCCCGGCCCGUCCCCCGCGCUGCUGCGGCCGGACGCCGGCCCGGCCGCGAUGCAGGCGCGCGCGCUGCUCCUGGCCGCGCUGGCCGCGCUGGCGCUGGCCCGGGAGCCCCCGGCCGCGUCGUGCCCCGCGCGCUGCGACGUGUCCCGGUGCCCGAGUCCCCGCUGUCCGGGCGGCUACGUGCCCGACCAGUGCAACUGCUGCCUGGUGUGCGCCGCCAGCGAGGGCGAGCCGUGCGGCCGCCCCCUCGACUCGCCGUGCGGGGAGAGCCUGGAGUGCGCGCGCGGCGUGUGCCGCUGCCGCUGGGCGCACGCCGUGUGCGGCACCGACGGGCACACCUACGCCAGCGUGUGCGCGCUGCAGGCGGCCAGCCGGCGCGCGCUGCAGCUCUCCGGGACGCCCGUGCGCCAGCUGCAGAAGGGCGCCUGCCCGUCGGGUAAGCGAGGGGGGCGCGGGCUGGAAGGGGAGGCCCCUCCCGGGGAAACUGAGGCGCGGAGCUUGGAGGAGCCCGGAGGUCGGCCCAGGCUGGGCAUCGUGGGCAGGCCCUUUGGAAAUCAUCUAGCCAGACCCCUGGUCUUCCAGGUGGGGAAACUGAGGCCCAGGGUCACAGAAGUGGUUUAAACGGGAAAGUCGGUGCUCUCCUGACCGCCAAGGGGUCUGGUCUCAUCAACACGUACCUGUCUUGCGUAUCCUUUCCGCGGGUCCCGUAUUCCGCUCUGCUCCGCCCCGGGGGUGUUGGGUGGAAGGCAGUCUUUCCUGGUCUUACAUCUCACCCAGUCCGGAUGUUCUCUUGAGCGACAUCCAGUGUUCUCUUUCUUUUGAGCUGGUCUUAGAGUGCCGGUCUCCAGAGGGCUGUUGGGAAUGGUGAUGGAGCAUGUGGGGUCUCUGCGCGGCUCGGGGCCUCCUGGGACAGGCUGCUGAGGCAGGAAAUUCCUCUGUCCCUCCAAACCCCAGGACGACCUCCCCCCACCCGGAGCUGGCCCAGGGCUGCUUCUUGCCACACAGCUGGACCCUGUGCGUGGAAGAAAAUGCUAGAAAACCCUGCCGUCCCUUUAUCUGUUUGGGGCGCCUCCUAGGAAGGCGUUGGUCCAAUAGGUACUUGGGGUCGCGGUGUGCUGGGCGCUGAGCCCCAAGGUCAGGGGGAUGAGUCAAGCCCUGUGUGGGCCCUCGUUUCAUAGCCUCAGGGCGGGAGACGCUAACCUCGAGGACAGGCUUGUGGCCCUGGGAGCCCCGUGGGGAGUAUAUCACCUGCAGCGCUUCAGGGAAAGCAUCCGAACUGAAUCUCACGCCAGGGACGGAUGUUCCAGGCGGCGGUAGGGAAGGGCUCUCCAGGAACAGGGAGCAGUGCGUGCACGAGCGUGUGUGUGUGUGCGUGUGUGUGUGUGUGUGUGCGUGUGUGACACCCAGGGCUGGCAGGUCGGCAGGGAUGGGUGGCGAGUGGCCGUAAGUGUCGUGCCAAUGGCUUGGACUCCAUCUUGCAGGCCGGACUUCCCCAGUUGAUGCCUGAGUCUGUCAGAAGUUCCGGGGACACCUGCGGUCAGACGCCCCCUCCCCACACACCACACACACAAAAAUAAUAAAACCCAGCGUUUCCCAAGAAGGUGUCAGCAGAACACGUAUGACCUCCUGGCACACGGAGGUUCUGAGGAACCCAGUCCGGGAAACACUAGAUAGGCCCAAGUGUGAUUGUUUGGGGGAGCCAGUGAAGGGCUUGGAGGGAGGUGAGGGUGAUAUGGUCAGGCUUGUGUUUAGAUGGUGCCCAGGAGAGUGAGGGACGAGAGCCCGGUGCCGGGCAAAGUCCCAGAGACGGGUGGUGGGUAUUUAGACACUGCCCCCUCGCGGGUGGCCCAUCCGCCCUGGGGCUUGGGACUGGCGGGCCCAUCUCAGGCCACACCGAUGCCUCUGAGACACAGGGGGCUCAGGGUGGGGCUGGAGCCUGCCCACUACGGCGUGGUUGUGUCCACGGGCCCCCCCCAACCCUGACUCCCGCGUGUGGGGGACGCUCUUAGAAUAAGGCUCCAGGGCUGGGGGCAGGGAAGGCAGGGAGGUUGGAGGCCGUCUGAGCAUUUGGAAACCCUCAUUUCUUGACUGAUGGAGUCCACGUUUGUAAAGUACCUUCCCUGUGUGUCCAGCUGGCCCCCGGCUGGUGGCAAGGGCGCUGGGAUGGGGCCGACCCUGUCCACGCCCUGCCCUGGAGACACCUGAGGGUCGGGGAGACACGUGGGAGGGUGAGAAGAGGGCAAGAGCCUGACGGCAGACAGGUGCACAGGUCGCUCGGUGCACAGGGGGCGGCUGCCAGCGUGGGGGUCACGGGCUGGGGCGCCACUGCGUGGCCUCAGGCAGCUUGCUUACCGCCCCCCUUCCCAUCUGAUGACAGUGAGGCUGACCGACGGUAGCAGCGGCCGGGGAGAGCGGGGGCGGGGACUGACGGCCGAGGGGCGUGGGCACGUGCCCCUGAUGGGUAAUCCGCAGACCGUGUGUUAGUUCCCGUGUUACUGUCGCUGCCAGGACUCCUGCCCCCACCCCCGUCUCUGUUUCAUGCGGGGAGUCAGCUUCUGUGCCGAGCCGUGGACGGUGAGCGGGAGCUCUCCCAGCAAAGGAGGGGGCGGCGGGAGGGACGCAGCACAGCAGAGGCAGAGGGCAAGGUCCCCCGGGCACGGGACCCUGUGGGCCUCGGGGUGGGGGGAGCGGGGGCCUUAAAGAGAGGGGUGGGGAGGCCGCGGGGCUGGGGUCCGUGAGCACCGUUCGUGCAGUGUCGCCCCGCCCUCACUCCUGGCCCUUGUGCCGUCUUCGUCCCCCCAGGUACAGGGACCUCAGACACCCAGGUUUCUGCCGGCUACGCGUGCAGAAUCCCGUCCUUGCGGAAUCCUUGCUGCACCGGGGUCUCGGGCCAGCGCCGUCGCAUCGGGCCUUGCCAGUCUGGCCCUUCAGGCACCGCAGAGGCGCUCAGUGAGGCAGGGAGAGGUCAGGGGGGUCUGAGGCCGCUUGUUCGGGCCUCGGCUCUGGCUGGCUUGGAAAGCGGCACCGUCGUGGGUCCCAGGCUUCGCUCUGCAGGCGGGGGACCGCAGGGCCCCCGGGGCUCGGCCGCCAUAGAGCAGCAUUCUCCCUUCCCCCGCCCUCCCAAGGGUCCAGCCAGAAGGCGCCGGGUGAUGUCUACACAUGAGGGCAGGUGAGGCACUGCCCAGCCCGGGCAUUUCUGCACGGAAUUCCCGCCCGCCGUCCCCUCGCUGGGCCCGCCCUCAGAUGCACGGCGCUGAUGACUCAGGGCCAGUCUCCAGCCCCCGCCUCUUCCCGGGGCUGGAGUCCUGCGUCCCUGCCGGCCGUGGUCCUCCACCGGGAAGUCUAGGCCAGGAGUGUUUGUCACCCUCCCUCGUUCCUUACCUACCAGCCACAGGCGAGUCUUCGGCCUGGAAACGUCCCCCAAGCCACCAGCGCCCUACUUGUCCCCGCACCGCUGGCCUCCCCGCUCGCCUCCCUCAUCCUCCCUCCCGCCACUCCUCCAUGCGGCAGCCAGGAUGGCCUUGGUAAAUCCAUUCUGCCCGUCACCGGCAGGACCCCCUCGGUAGCUCCCCGACACUGACCCGACCCCCGAGGCCCUGUGCCGUCUGGUCCCCCCACCCCACCCCGCACGGCCACCUCCUCCUCCAUGCUCUAGCCUGCCCUUCUCCCCACCUCGGGGCCCUUGCACGUGCUGUGCUGCAGCCCAAGUGCCCAUUGUCUCACUUUCAUGUGGCCACGUCCUCAUCUGUCUGGACCUAGACGACCCCCCCACCCCUGAGCUGCCUUCCCCGAUCACCGCACCUUGCAACCCCCUCAUUAGCCUCACGAGCACACCCCGGGGCCCCUCUAGACCCUCACAUCACCUCUCUGACCCGGAUCAUCUGCCUUAUUUCCAUCCCCACCCUCCUUGCAUACCCCCAGCGAUGGGGCCUCACCACCUUUCCGGGAGCUUUGCAUUUUCCCAUCUCCACGGUAGACAGAACCACUCCCUGGCAUGAAUACCUGUCUGUCGCCGGGAUGCUAAACACAGACGUAAAUGUGUUCCUUGUGUCCGUGGAGGGAGGAGGCUCCCUUUUGCACUUAGCCAGAGUCCCUGCCCCUCAAGGCCUCUCUGCCCACCCCUGCAGACGAAUAGGCCUUGGUGCGUACAAUUAAUUCAAAACCUAGAGCCCAAGGGCAGCGUACGACGUGGCCUUUAGGAAUCCGUGUUCCGUGUGCAACCCCGGUGCAGGUUCAGACGGCGUCUCUCCCUUGUUUUAUUUAUUAAGAGCUUUGGUUGGUGUUUGAUUUUCAUCCCCUUAGCAGCUUCCUGUGUGUGGAAUUCUGCACUGGGGACCAGGCAGGAUGACGCUCCCCGCCCCCCCCCCACCCCGCUCCCUGCACCCUGGACGGCAGGGCUGAGACACAGCAUCUGGUGGCUCCUGAGCCAGGAGCCCCCGCAGAGAGGAGCCUGAGACCCGGGGUGCCGUGCAGCUGGCCUUCGCCGGCCAGGCUGGGCCCGGGAAGCACCCUCACCCCCUGUGCUCCCGGCAUAAGCCUAGAGGCGCGGCCGGGACCCCACAGCAACCCCUGGGGUCUGCCCGCUCGGGCGUCUCCACUUGCCACACUCACCGGCACGCAGCGGCCCCGGGGGGAGUGACGAGACUUGGACCUCCCUGCUAAAAGCCCAGCCAUGGCUCCCACUGCCUUCAAGACCCAGCACUGACUUGUGCUGCAGCCUGGCCUCCCCUUUCCUGCCGGGCCCCACCACCAUUAGCAGAUCGCCUACGAAAUCCCCAUCCUGUCUUGCGAGGGACAGAUGACUAUGGGUGGAACCCAGGUGAGGGGGAAACCACCUCCAGAACCGGGGAAGGGUAGGUUAGGAAGGGCCUCCUGGAGGAGGUGGCACGUAAACGGCCAUGAAGAGGUGGGCACGGAGAGCGCAGGAGCUGGGAGGGUGGCCUGUCGUCAGGAGGUGCGGCGCUCAAGGGUUAUGAGUGACACGUGUGCAGAAGGGUGCAGGGGCCCAGCUUGGGGGGGCGGGGGGCGGUGCCCUGGUGGGGAGGGCCGAUGCGGCUGGAGCGAGGGUGACAGCUGAGGGCCUGAGGGUCCCCGAUGGGCGUCGGGGUUGGGUUGGUGGGGGAGUGACAGGAUGGCACUGGAGUCAGGGCCGCUGGAGGAGCGGGUCCGGAGAGGCAAGGUGUUAGGUGCAGAUCAGGUGCUGGGGCCACUCUGGUGUAGACGGUGUCCGGGGCGGGGGCAGGGUUCCGAGAGACCGGCUGACGAGCAACCGCGUCCGUGCGCAGGGGCCGUGUCGCUGGGUCUGCCUCGUCGGGCGCGCACGGCCUCGCUUCCGGACGGGCCGCGGGCCCUCUCCAGCCUGUGGUGGCCCUCCGCGCCCCGUGAGGCCGGUGGAGCGGUGGGCCCCGCCCAGAUCCGAAGCCCCGUCCUCGCCUCCCGGUUCGUAUCCGAGGGGACCCAGGGGAGACACGCAGCCACGUGAGGAUGACCGGAGCUGCGCGGCUCAGCCGGACGAGCCCUGUGCUGGGUGAGCUGGACCCACGGUGUUCCAGGCUCCACCCGCUGGCUCCAGGCACCUGACGGGCACCCCUCGGUCGUCCGCUCGUUCGCCCGCCUGCCAGGAACUCUGGGGGGGACGGGGCCCAGCCGCACUCGCGCGGCCUCCCCAGGGGCCUGGGGUUUGCACAAACCAGACAAGGAAGUGGGCGGGCGCCUGGCGGAGUGAGCGCUGUGUCCUGCCCGAGGGUCUCAGGCCUCCUCCCGGGCCUUGCUUUGAGGGAGGAAGGCCCCCAGGUUCCCCAAGGUCAAGGGGGAGACACCAGGCUUGUGCUUCAGGCUGUCAAAGCCUUACACACACAUUCUUGAGGUCUUAUUUUCAUGGCCCGUUAGAAGAAAGAGCUUAGCGGGGGCAUCGAGCUACCCCAGCUGGGGAGGGACAGCUCUGCCCACGCCCAGAUUCCCCUGAUUUUCCGUGUGCUGUUCCGCACGCAAGGCAGACCUCCAGCGCCUUGGGGAAGUGGCUUUUCUGUCUGAUUUUGAUAAGGUUGUUAAAUAAGCAGGUAAGAAAGAGAGUGAAGUCGCAGGUCCCUUGUCCUCGGUGCAGCAAAGGUGUGGCCAGGAUGCAUGUAUGUGUGCCCCACACCGAACACCAGGUCUAGAGGCAGGGGGGAGCAGGUGAACCCUUGGAGAUGUGCAGUGUCCAACCUGCCCAGCUGCAUGCUUUCACCCUGGAGCGCGUGACGGGCAGAGCCAGAACCGCGACCCUGUUCGGUUCUCAGGGCUGAGUCCCAGCUACACCACCUGCAGGUCUCCUAAGCUCUCCGCGCCCCAGAUCCCUCAUCUGUGAAGUGGGGACGGCAGUGGUGUCCUUCCCGCUGGGCCACUGAGCAGUCAGGCGAGGGGUCCAAAGCGCUUGGCACAGCGUGAAGGCUAACAGCCCUGAGCGCCAGCAGACUGAGUGCCGACGGCUGGGUGUUUCUGCCAUAGCCGUGAGGGUGAAGGAGAGGUAGGUAGUCGAGGAGAGAAGGUGCCGGAAGGCAAUGUCUGUGGAAGGGUUGCCACAUGCCCAGGGGACUUCCCAGGACCCGGCUGGGAAGCCUGAGCCCAGAGGAGCCGCUGUUGGACCCGUCAGGGCCGGGAGGGCUUCCUGUCGCGGGAGGGCCGGGGGCCGAGCACACCUUGGCUUCCGUGGCGACUGGCCUGCAUACCCACCUUGAAAAAGUCCAGACAGGCCGGUGGGAGGGCCUCUCCUCCAUGAUGUUGGCACAUUAGAGGAGCCAGGCUGGCCCCAAGGCGAGGACUGGCCAGGCCAGGCGCCCCUGGGCAGGACAGCCAGGCGCAGUGGCUGAGGACCAGCCCGGGACAGAGGAGGUACCUGGGGUCAACGUCAAGGGACCUGGCUCUGGGCCCUGGUGGGGGGUUCUCCUGGCCUGUAAAAUGGGCAGAGACACCUGCCUUGAAGAACUGCCACGAGAGUUCACCGGACCACGGGCCUGGAGCCCGUGGAUGGCGGCUGAGGGGAGGGACCCACGGGGGAGGAGGCCUGCAUUCCAGGGACAGGUGCCUGGGGCCUCAGGGCCACGGACAGCGGUGCUGGUGCCCCCGGGAGCCACAGUGGGAUCGGAAGCCCCUGUUCCUGGCUCUGGGGGCUAAUUAGACCCUGGAGGCGGCUCCUGGGGCUUCAGAGCCCGCCCCAGAUGGGUGAGUGCGGCCUGCAGGUGGGGGCUGGGGGCCGUGGGGGGUCCCCUGGGACAGCACCCCGGUCCCUGUAGAACAUCCAUGCACCCCCCCCCCUUGCUCAUUCACUCAUUGUCUCACUGCUCCCUGCUCAGUGCUGUGGAUUGGGGCGCCCAGGCCAUGGGGACAGAAGGACAUGCCUUGGGAAGGGAGGUGUUACAAGGCGCUGUGGGACCCGGGGGGGUGAGAGUGGUCACUGAGCCUGCCAAGUCGGGGCAGGCUCCCCAGAGGAGGUGUGCGGGCCUGGGCUCGAGGGACGAGGGAAGGGAGCCGGGGGCCCAGAGGGGAGAGCGACAGGUGCAGGUAGAACCUGGGCCUCGAAGGCACCGCUAAGACGUCGUCAUCUGGUCUACAAGCCGUGUUCAGCAUUACGGACGCAUAGGCCCAGGCUUUGCGGUCAUCUGCCCACGGCCCUUCCAUCCCAGUUCACAGCUAACCACGGCGUGACAGGUGGCGGCUUCUUCUGAUGGAAUCAAGGCAAUGACCUCAGAGAGGGCCAGAACUGGGUCUCAGUGCCUGUUAUGCGCUGGAGGGGUAAUGCGUAGUCGGGCAGGCUGCGCACUGCCCAACUCCAAGGGAAGCCAGUCAUGCUGAGACCUUCGUUAGUAACGGUCCUGGGCUUGUGCAGUCCACAGCCUGUGUAACAACACUAUCGGGCGGCCCGGCGGGAUGUCUGGGCUGGUCACUUUCCCACUCUGGGCCUUGGUCUCCCCCUCUGUUGUUCCGUGGCAGUAUGGCUCUCCAGAAUUGGCACAGAGUAAAGUCUUCUCUCGGGGUUUGCCACCGUCCCCGAGCCCUCCAGGGAGCUCGGCCACGCCAGGGUGUUGGGGUGGAGCCCUGACGCCCAGCUUCUCUCCCUGCCAACCCUUGUCCCAGUCCGUCCCAUGCUGGCCGUGUCCCUUCCUCUCCCGGGAGGCCCCACUGGACACCUGGCCUCGAUUGCUUUGCCGUGUCAAAUUCCGCACGAACUGGACCUCCCAGAGCCCGUGGGUCACGGUUUAUUUUUGAAAACAAAACACGGCAACAACAACGACAAAGGCUAACGGCUGAAUCUGGUGGGGACUGACUGUUGACUUCAGAACUUUGGCUGGAGGAGGGGGUGGGGGUGGGGGUUGUCAGAAGCCCAAAUAAACAGCGUCUGCUUUCCAGCCGUGGGGCCCACGGUUUUCAUGUGGAAAGAGGCUGUGGGAACCCAGUCCUCCCUUCCCACUGAUUCAUGGGGUGAUUCAUCUGUGUGUAGGGAGGAGGACCAGGAAACAGGCCUGCCCCGCCCCACCACCCCCUCCCCACCGCCCACCGCGGGGCUCUGCUUAAAGGGACAGGGCCCGGCGGGGCUCUAGUCAUCAGCUGGCUGACCCAGGAGCCUCGGAGCUCUGGGUCAGGAAGGACUCAGGCUCUGAAGUCCCUGGGACCCGGAUCGGGGCGCCUCUGGGCUUUGCUGUGCCCCAUCCCCCGUCACGCUGUGCUGUGCCCGACUCGCCUGAACUCAGGUGCACACAGAGGCGCUCGGCCUGCGUGGCUUGAAUAUACCCCGCGUGAGAGGCAGGGCCGUGGGUGGGGCAUUACACUGGGAACCCCAGGAGGGAGAGACUCAUGCUGGCUGGAAGGAGCCUGCCGGGGGACUGCCUGGAGGAGACGGCACUGGAGUUGUGCCCGGGACAAGCUGGCGCGUCCUGCGGGGGGGAGGUGGCGAGUGGUCUGUGCAGGCGAGGCACAGAACGGUGGGUGAUGGAGCAGAGACUGGGGGUAAAUGGCCCAACAGGUUACACAGCAGGGAGAGGGUGACCCUUGACUGGGCCCUCGGGGACUGGCCGCCCCAGCAGAGCACGGCGGGCGCGAGCCUCGGCCCGGGAAACCCGGCAGACCCUGCCAAACGCCCACCCGGCGAAAGAGACAAGGGCCUGGGGUCGGGGUCCUCUGAGGUCCCCAGGGCACGGGAACUGCCCGGCCAGGAACGUCUCGUCAGAGACUGGAACCUGGACAGGGCAGCAGGCUCGGUGGCUGGCUUCCUUCCCUGUGCCCGGAGGCCAGAGUAUGACGUGGGCUCCCAGGGGGGUUGCCUCGAGGUGGAGAGGGCAGAGCUGGGCCCAGCCCCCCCAGCUGACUGGCGGCCUCGGUCGCAGAGCGUCAGGGAGAAUUAGCGAUCCCGCCUGGAGAUACAGACUCCGACCGCGACGGCACGCUGGGAGCGCGGAAGGAACCCUGGCCCACAGUGGGCCCUGCCCCGGGGCCCCCGUUAAUGUGAGCUCUGAGCCCUACACCCCGCCCCUCCGAGGGUUUUGCCACCCGGAAGAAGAGGGCUCCCAGGCCGUAGCCCCUGGCCGCCUGCAUUUUGAUGGGUGAGGGGCCUCGCGGUGGCCGGCAGGCUCUGGCCACCCCGGACAGGCAGCCUUUGAUUCAGGCUGACCACGGUGGCCUGGGCCCCCCUGUCCAGCGCCCACUGCCUGGCUGAGAAGCAGACAUCACAGAACCGGCGGGGCGGGGCGGGGGCUCCUCCCCACCUCCGACCUUGGACCCCGAGGGAAGCUCUCUCCGGUUCAGGCAUGACGGACACUCGGGGCCCCUAAGGAGGAGAGCCCUCGGCCUGCGCUCAGAACCUGCCUUCUCUAACUAGAGACGCAUCUCCAGGCAAGAGGACUGAGCUCAGGGAGCCACAGUUUUCCCACCUUUAAGAUGCGGGCAGUGCCCCCCGCCCUGGCCGCCUCCUGGACGUGGGGAGACGAGUCGGGGUGUGGAGAGCCCUGCAUUUGCCCCAGAUGUUUAUGCAGCACCGAUGAUGUCUGCACUCGCCUUACCUCCUGUCCCCCUGGGCAAAAUGGAAAAAUCCAGAUUCUCACUCAACCCUGAUGACCCCUCACCUCCCAGAACUGGACUUCACGGGCCGAGCCCUCUUUGCUCGCCAGCACCAGUCCCGGGGUGCAGGGUUAGGCUCACAAGUCACAUCCGUACCCGGUUCCCACAGGUCGGGGGUGGGGGGGCACCUUCAGCCUCAUUUUCAGACUAGGAGUCAAGGCCCAGAGAGGGUGAGUGAUUUGCCUGAAGCCACACAGCCGGAAGUGGGGCUGCCCAGCCAAGCCCGGCCUGCGGGACUCCCAGCACUCGGCUCAUUCGGGGAGCCGCUUACAAGCAGUGCUGGGCGGGCCCGGUUCCAGGUACCGCCAGUCUCUGGCUGCGACCGGAGAGAGCUCAGCACAUGCCCGAGCAGGGAGACCGAAGGGGUGUGGGCCCGGUGCCACCCACAUCCCUCAGGCCUGCGGUCCCGGCAGGCGGCGGCCCCCACUGCUGACGGCAGCAGAAAUCUGAGCCGGCAAAGGUUCCAGGGGGUUCAUGAACCGCCUGGAAAGUCGGACUGGGGUCCGGCCAAGUUGGAUGGGGGGCCCUGGCGACGCAGACAUCCGGAGUCCCGCGGGGCCUGGGAGGGGGCCACCCCAGGGCCAGACCGGGGCAGCUCCGAAGGGAUGGCCGGGGACCUCUGCUGUCACCUUGCCCGAUCACGGCACUAGCACGGGCUGGAGGACGGGCCAGAGCCGGCGGGGGAGGGGACGGUGGCCUCACGCCAGGGCAUUGCUCUGGGUGAGAGAAAGGGUGAGGGCCCAGGGGGCUGGCUCGGGUCUGGCUCAAGUGUCAUGUCAGGAUAAGUGUCCUGACAUCGUGAGCCUCCCGGCCUGCCCCGUGGUAUCGCGUCCAGUGAGGAGACUCCACAGUCACCAUUCUUGGGACGAGGGAGCCCCCUCCCAAAUAUCUGGGUGUCACUGGGCUGAGUGUCGGGCAUCCCUGAGGGGCUCUGAGCCUGGGGGGGGGGUCCUCGCUGGAGCUUCCUCCCGGGGGGGGGGGUUCGGGGCACCGCUGGCGGUGUCUGGGUCUCAUUAAUGCGCCUGGUUGUUCCCGCCAGCGCAGGUCUCCACCAGCUGACCAGCCCGAGGUACAAGUUCAACUUCAUCGCGGACGUGGUGGAGAAGAUCGCGCCGGCCGUGGUCCACAUAGAGCUCUUCCUGAGGUGUGCGAACCCCUCCCGGGCAGCCCCCACCCCCGUUCUAGCACGGGGGCGGUCAAAGCCAAGCGCACGUGGGGUCCGGCAGACCUCCCCGACACCUCCAACUGCUGGCGCCCUUGGGGAGGGCGGCCCUCUCUGACUCUGGUCUCCCCGCCAAGGGCGGGGGGGGGGGGGNGACCUCACAGCGCCAGGGCGUGCUAAGCAGGCGCACCGCGGAGUCAGCUCUGGUGGCCCUGAGACUGUCAGAGCCGCUUCUGGGAAGCUCCGGGUCCCCGACGGCUGAUCGCUCAGGGCAGUCCUGAGGUCUCCCGGGGCGUCCUGUACUCCCCAGAGAGAAGACGCUGACGGUGCGAGGUCUCACGUUCAGGGUUCCUCUUCCUUGUCUUAACCUCGUGGCCCCUGUGUGGGAGGGGGCCUCCAGACAGCCCAGAUGAGGCAUGCAGGGCCAGAGCCCCGUCCCCCAGCAGCGCUGUCCCGAGGGGUGGAGGCCGGCCGGUGCCAUUAUGCCAACACCGAGGCGCAGAGGACCGGGUGGCCCCCGGUCCCUGGGGGUGGGCAGAAUCCCCCACGCCCCGAUUCCUGGCCCCAGCACGGCGCUCCCUGCUCCCUGGGCGUGGAGCUUGCCCGGGGGGAGACCUCGCUCCUGGACGUCACUGCCCCCCAUCUCUGGAGGGUGAGGACAGUGCUCACCCCUGAUGGUGCUCCACGUGGCAAGCCACCAAGGGCAUGAGCUCACUGUCGGUAUCCCUGGACACCUGCCGUGUGCUCCGAGCCCCCUCGGCUGCUUUGCCUGCAUCUGUCUAAGCAGCCCUGGUGAAUGCCCACCUCUUAGUGGAGACAGCCGGGCACCCACAGGAGUCACCCCAAGAGUCAAGCCCGGGGGGCCCACCCCUCAGUGCUGACUGAGACCGUACCCCGACGGACUGCUGUCCCUCAGGGCUGAGCCCCAGAAGCUAAGCUUUGAUGUUCCCAUUUUCUGGGUGUGGAGCAGAGGCCUGGAAACGUCUCCGAGCUCACAGAGCGGCUGAGUGCCAAGUCGGGGUUUCACCCCAGGUCUCUCAGACCCCAGAGCUGACCCCUUACUGCCCUUUCUGCAACCUCCAGACCCUGAGACAUAUCAUUGAGGAAAUUAUAACUGGACACGCUAAGUGGUAUGUCCCUGGCCUUGCCAGUGGCUCAGACGAGGACCGUGUAUUUCCAGAAGGCUCCGGGCACCAGGCUUCGAGCCAGCCAAUUGCUGACUGUAGCCCAGUCUGGCCAGGUGGCAAUGCCGUUGCCACAUCAGCCUCCGAGGCCGAUGUCCACGUGGGUGGGUGGGUGGGUGGGUGGACGAGACCGAGCGGGCAAGAUCCCAGACACAGAUGAGAUGCUCAUCAAGCUUGGGAGCCUUGGCUGUGACCCCGGCCUGGGCGGGGAGGCCCCGGGGCUGCCUCGGGCCCGCCUCGGGCCCCUCCAGCAGACAAGCGCCAGACCCUAGCCGUGGGUGCAGGGGUGUGGCCAGGUGCAGCCCUCGCCCAGGGCCACACGGAGCUGGGGGGGCGGGGGCAACGGCCCGUGUGAGUGGUCAGAUCCCGUGGUCCCCCUGGGGCCGAGUGCCCAGGCUGCCUGCUUCAAACCCCUGCUCUGCCCUUUGCCUGCCUGACCCAGAGAAGUAGUUCAAGUCCUGGGCCUCAGUUUCCCCACCCGCAAACUGAAGGCCUCCUACCGUGUAGGGUGGUCGUGAGCAUUAAAUCACUCAGGGAGUCUGGCUCGGGGUGCCCGGUGGCCUUGGCUCUGGUCACCGGUCCUGCCCGCCGAGGUGGGUCUUGUGCAACCCUCACUUCCCUGAGAAAGCCCCCACCCUCAAGUUCCUUCUCUCCUGCCCCGUCCAGGCCCCUCGGGGGUCCCAGAGGCGACCCGCCCCAGAGAGGGUCCUGCGCCGCGGCCGUGGUUCCCUCUUGGCCCUGCGGGCGGCUGGGCGUGGUCACGCAUCAGGGAACUCUGACCUCUGACCGUUUGCUCCUGUUCACGGAGACAGAGGCCGGCCCGGCGUCUGCUUGUGUCUGAGCACACACCCCGCCCUGCACCGUCCGCUGUCCCCUCCGCCCCCUGAGUCCCCGGAAGGAUGACACCUGGUGUCAUCAUGGAGCAGAGCCUGCUUGUCACGCCGUCUGGGGCUUCCGGGCAGGUGCGGGGCAGGGGAGGGACCGGGCGGGGUGGGAACGCGACCGCCCCAGCACUGCCCCUUCCCCGCACGGUCCGAUCUCUCCCCCUGCGGAGAAGUACCCCCCCUGGGGACCCCGGCACCUGCUGCGCUGUCCCCCAGCCCUGUUUGUUGAGUGGCUUCCUGCCCCCAGGCGCUUUGGACAACAGGCGUCACACCCAGCAGGGUAGAUGCCCCAUUUCCUGGCUGGGGAGACCGAGGCCUGCCCACGGCCAGGCAGGUAAUGAGCGGGACGGCCCUGAGAUGAGAGUGCCGGCCUGUCUGGCUCCAGCUCUGUGCCCGCCUGUCCUAACAGGCCUGCCAGGCGUGGGCCUCGCGUCCCUUCCCGGCAGACUGCAAGUCAGAGGUCACCGCUCCCCCCUUGAGGCCGUGAAGAGGGCCUGGCGUUAAGUGAGCCGGCCGCGGCCGCGGCCGAAGGUGGCGGGGCUGGGCCUGAGGGCGGGGUGGGGGUGGGCUCCGCUCCCCUCCAGCAGGCCCCCNNNNNNNNNNCCCCCCCCCCGCCCGCGCUCGCUCCCCGCAGACACCCCCUGUUUGGCCGCAAUGUGCCCCUGUCCAGCGGCUCGGGCUUCAUCAUGUCGGAGGCCGGCCUGAUCGUCACCAACGCCCACGUGGUGUCCACCUCCAAUGCCGUCUCGGGCCGGCAGCAGCUCAAGGUGCAGCUGCAGAACGGAGACACGUACGAGGCCACCAUCAAAGACAUCGACAAGAAGUCGGACAUCGCCACCAUCCAGAUCCACCCCAAGGUGAGUGGGCGGCGGGCGGGGCGGGGGCGCCUUCCCAGGCCCCAGCGCUCGGAGUCGCCUCGGCCCGACCUCCCUGUGGGACGCUCGGAGGAACCGAGGCCCAGCCACGGGGCGGGCCAGCCUAGAACCGGGGUCUCCAGACCCCCCCGCCCCUGCCUCCUGAGCCGCCGUGUGCGAGCAGAGCCGGGCUGCCGCCCGCCAGCCAGCGAUGUGCCCCCAAGUCAUUCGCGAAGGGGCGUCCUCCAAGGCCCGGGGACGCUGCCUGCGUCCCUCCCGGGUCACUCCAGGACAGGCAGCUUCCCCCGUGGGGCUGACGGGACGCUGGCCCGGAGCUCCGGGACAUACGCCCCGGUCCCUCCACAUCCCGUCCCCCCAGCUGGCCAGGCGGGGCCCACAGCGGGGCCGCAGCCGUCCCGCGUCACCGCCAGGGGCUGGCACUGUGCCUGCGCCCCACCGCCCUUGACAGAAGGGGCGUCGGUGUCCUGCUGCUUCCGAGGGGACACUGAGGUCAGAGAGGUUAAGUCACUGCCCAAGGUCAGGCUAAGCCGGGGCAGGGCACGUCCAGUGUUGUGGUCGUGACUCUCGGUGACGGCAGCCUGCCCCUGCCGUGAGGCCGGUGACCGGGCGGCUGUCUGCGCUGGUGAGUCUGGCUUGGCUGACUUGGAAUCCGGCUUCUGCUCUUUCUGAAUGAAAGUGUGUGGUUUUGGUGAUAAUGAACCUUUUGUGAGGAGGCUCCCUCUUGCCCGAUCCAGGGAGGAGGAGAGGCUUAUCCCAACGGGGACCCUUCCCCACGGCAGUUACUGAGCCCGGGGACACCACCUCCGUUCUAAAGAUGGGGAAACUGAGGCUGGGGCGGGGCACGGGGUGUGCUCAAAGACAGAGGCUGGCAAACGUCUUCGGUGAAGCUCCAGAUAGUAAGCACUUCGAGGCUUUGUGGGGUCCGGGCCCUCUGGGGACGCCUCUCAACGACGCAGCCACCACAGGCCACACGAGCCCGCGGCCGUGUCCCCAUAAAACGUUAUUUGCAGAACAGAAACAGGCAGCAGGCUGCACUUGGCCCGAGGGCCACAGGGUGCAGCCCCUGCCGAGGACCCCCACAGGGUGACGCAGAGCCAGACUGGACCGCGGGUCUGGCGGUCGCCGGGUCUCUCCUGUUCCAGGCGCCGCGGCACAAUCCCGAGGGGCACACGCGGCAGCCGUCCGUGGCCCCAGGGGCGGGUGGACUUUAGUAAGGCCUGCACGACCUCCCAGCGGGAGCUGCCUCAGCCCCUGGGUCCCGCGCGUGGUGGCCCCCCCAGCCUUGGGGGGGGCUGCGGCCCCGCGGCCACGCGGGCAGGUGAGCAAGGGCCGAGUGGAGCCCUGCCGGCUCGCCUCACCCCCGUUCACAGGUCCCCCCGUUUGUACUGGGAGCUGCCCUGGGACAGAAGACCUUAAGUGGCAUGGUGGCUGGAGCAGAAAGAGGAGGCCACUGUCAGGGAGGAAAGGGGAGUGACCACACACAACCGGGUGCUCAGAGGGUCCGAGGUGUGGGGUCCUUGUCCAGAGCUAGAGGGAGGCACCCCCGCGAUCGGGACAGGACGGUCGCCGGCACCUUCUCAUAAAGCUUUCUGUCUGCAAGUGACUGCCGUCCCCCGGGAGCCCCCAAAAGCAGUGCCCCUCCCCGGCGGUGGCCUCGGACGCAAGGGGUGUGACACCGAACCCCCAGAUUCAUGGAGGUGCUGGCGACGGGGCCUCGGCCGCCGUGGAUUCCACGUUCGCCACUGUGCGCACUUGGGCACCUUAAGCCCGCUCAGGAGCACCCCCUCUGAGCGUGUCUCCUGCAGCUUCCGGAACACGGAGGCGACCCCAACACGGCUGGCCCUCAGAGCUGCCGGCCCAGCCGUGGACUCAGACAGACAGACGGGCUGGCUCCACGUGAAACUGGAGUGGGCAGGCGUCUCCGUGGGCAGGGGGUGAUGGCAGAGCUUGGCUGAGUCACCUCGCCGCUCUGGGCCUCAGUUUCCCUGUGUGUCUACAUCGGGAGAUCUGGUUCAGCUGGAUCAAGGAUUCCAAAACUUGGGCUCCAGAGCCCUUGCAGUCCUAGGCAUCAGUCUGUGUGUGAUGCACUUUUGACGGCAUUCGUAGCCCCUGUCAGACUUUCAGAGGGACCUGUGGCCACCGAACCACUGAGCUCGAUGACCUCAGAGGCUGUGUCCAGCCGGACCCCGUGGGCCUCCUCCCUGUGUGUGACCCCUGCAGCCCACCUGGGGACCCCUGUGGUCACUGGUGCGGCUGAGGCUCUGUUCCAAGGGCUCCAGCCCGGGUCUCUCCUGCUACGGGUCAGCUGGAGGCCAGCCCGGCCUCUGUCUGAGUUGGCAGCUUGCCUCGGCCUUCACCCCCGAUGGGUCUCGCCAGCCGCUCCGGCCCUCCUGGGACCGUCCCGGCCUGGAUCUGGCUCCAGUCUCACCCAGGGCAGACAGCUGAGCCUCCCUCCCCGUGUCCCCCCUGCAGAAGAAGCUCCCGGCCCUGCUGCUGGGCCACUCGGCAGACCUGCGGCCCGGCGAGUUUGUGGUGGCCAUCGGCAGUCCGUUUGCCCUGCAGAACACGGUGACCACGGGCAUCGUCAGCACGGCCCAGCGGGACGGCAAGGAGCUGGGCCUCCGGGACUCCGACAUGGACUACGUCCAGACAGACGCCAUCAUCAACGUGAGUCCUCGCGGGGCCUCCGGCGGGGCUCGCUCCCCGUCGCCCGGCCCGCGUGCUAGAAAGGUCCUUCUUUACGCUGAGCGGAGCCUGGACUCCCUGCGACUUCUGCACGCGGGCGCCAGGCCCGCCCUGGGAGUCGGCGGCUCCGUUCCUGACCCGGGCCAGGAACCCGGGUCACGCCCGAACCACUCACCCUGUCAGCCUCGCUUUUCUCGUCCUCAGUGUUGCCACCGAAUCGGGGGGCUCACGGCGCGCUCUGCCCAGGCGCCCCACACCCACCUCUCUGGUUUGCCGUGGUUCGGGCUCUUCUGGAAAUGUUAGUCUUUGUAGAGAGCCCUCGAGGCGGGUGGGGAAGAACUGUACCCCGUGAGGCGAAUCUGGAGGCGUGUGGCGUGUGCAGAGGGCUCUGGCCCAGGCCAGACGGCGUCCACGUGGCCUCCGGGGCCUCAGCUUUCUCACCUGUGAAAUGGGGGCAGGAGUGAGGCCUUUCGAUGCUGUUGGGGGUAAAAUCCGAGUACCCGUCUUCUGUGCUGGUGAACAGGGAGGGCUCGGGAGACAGAGCUUCAGGAACCCGCGAGGGGCUCAGGGCUCAGCUAACGUCUCGUUUCCUCCCUUGCAGUACGGGAACUCCGGGGGACCCCUGGUGAACCUGGUGAGUGUCCCCAAGUCCUCCACUCACAUGGCAGCACGGCCCCGAGGCGGGGAUGGAACCUCGAAGAUGCGCCUUGAAUCUUCGCACCCGGUGGCUGGGCUGGGGGCCCCGGGGGAGGGCAUGACCCCACGUGCCUGUUGCCCUGCCCCCCAAGCCCCCAGGGAUGCUGAGUAAGGGUGACCCAGAACAGCAGCCAGGCAGGGACCACACGCCCAUCAAGGACCUGGGGCAGGGGAGACACAGGUCACGGCCGGUCACGGCUCUGGGCCCCCCAUCCUUGCGUUUACGUGAGAGGGUGUGGGGGCAUCCUCGUUCCGUCUCAGCCCUGUUGGGUCACCCCUGCCCCAGGUCUGCCCUGGGCCCCAGAGUCAGGCUCAUUCCCGUCCCAGGGGAGACUUCCAGAAUCAACCCAAAGUUCAGUUCAGAAAUCAGUUGGGCUCUGGGCCCUGAGAAUUGUUGGAUGCCCUCCCGCCCUGGGGAGCUCCUGUGGGCAGGUGUGACGUGAGGAGCGGUGAGGGGGCUCUGCAGGGAUGCAGGCAGGAAGGGCUUCCUGGAGGAGGGAGCAUGUAACUUGCACUGUGGAGACCGAGGGUCUGGGGUUGAGACGGACGUGCAGGGGAAAGAUGGUCCGGGGAGCAGCACGGCACGAGCGGGAGGGGUCGGACGCUCAGCGGGACGAAGGCCGCAGCACUGGUGUUCGAGAAAGUCGUGCGGGUGGGCUUCAGGCUGGGGGCCAGAAAAGCCGGCGCAGGGGUGCGUGCUGGGUAUGGAGAGGAGUGCCUUCCCGGGAGGGUGUCAAGAGCGAGGUGUCCGGGGCCCCGGCUGCAGCCUCGAGGGGUGCAGGGUGGGGGCGGCGGGGGAGGCCAGCUCCCGGGGCGCAGAGGGGGCGGGUGAUGCCGCAGCCGCCCCGACCUCACGCCCCCGGCCGCGCUUCUGGAAGGAAGGCAGAGAGGGGCGCGUACGCCUCAUCACCCCCCGUCUGGGCUCCCGGGAUGCUGCCGGGGGUGUCCUCCUCGCGGGGCGGACCGCGAGCUCCCGUACCGACACUCUCUGGCGAGGGAGAGGAGGGGUCCGGCUUGGAGGGAGAGGUGGGGGGUCCCUGGCCCGGAGGCGAACCCCGGAGCGCCUUUCCCGGACAGCUUCCGGGAGCCCCUCGGGGGCGGUGACGGCCGGGCGGCCACGGGAACCGGGCGGCGGCCACGGCGCUCGGGCUGCCCGGGUGACCGCCCCCUCGGACGGCCCCCCGCACAGGACGGAGAGGUCAUCGGCAUCAACACGCUCAAGGUUGCGGCCGGCAUCUCCUUCGCCAUCCCCUCGGACCGCAUCACACGCUUCCUCACGGAGUUCCAGGACAGGCACG